Molecule: ribosomal RNA, 430 nt
Filed under: uncultured bacterium
Lineage: Bacteria
Description: partial 16S ribosomal RNA
Rfam family: Bacterial small subunit ribosomal RNA
Source: RNAcentral
CCUACGGGUGGCAGCAGUCGAGAAUCUUUCACAAUGGGCGAAAGCCUGAUGGAGCGACGCCGCGUGGAGGUUAAGGUCUUCGGAUUGUAAACUCCUGUCAUGCGAGAACUAGUAUCGCAAGAGGAAGAGACGGCUAACUCUGUGCCAGCAGCCGCGGUAAUACAGAGGUCUCAAGCGUUGUUCGGAAUUACUGGGCGUAAAGGGUGCGCAGGCCGCGCGGGCAGUCAAAUGUGUAAUCCAGGGGCUCAACCCCUGAACUGCGCUUGAUACUUCCGCGCUCGAGCUUUGGAGAGGAGUCUGGAAUUCUCGGUGUAGCAGUGAAAUGCGUGGAUAUCGAGAAGAACACUUAGGGCGUAGGCAAGACUCUGGACAAUCUGACGCUCAUGCACGAAGGCUAGGGUAGCGAACGGGAUUAGAUACCCUGGUAGUC